Molecule: ribosomal RNA, 782 nt
Filed under: Triticum aestivum (bread wheat)
Lineage: Eukaryota; Viridiplantae; Streptophyta; Magnoliopsida; Poales; Poaceae
Description: partial small subunit ribosomal RNA
Source: RNAcentral
UCAUCGGGAGCUCGUGGACUGAGGGCGGCCGUACACGGUGCCGAUGGCCACGGGGCGGCCAUCCACUCCCCUUGGCGCCCUACAAGGUUGCUCCCUCCCCCCUGCGAAACCCUAGCCCACCGUUUUCCCCUCGCUCGUCUGUCUCCCUCUUAAUUUCGUCCAUGCCUGGGCGCAACCGUCGUCAAGCCGCCAUCGUUGUCGUGGUCGACGUCCACCACGAGCCGCAAUGAGAAGACCAGGAGGUGGGCACCAGCGUCCUCGACACCUGGGUAGAAGGAGCUGUACCGCGGAGUCCCGAGCCUCGCCAUCGACUUGUCUUCGUCACCACGGUCGUCGUCGUCGAUUUCGUCGAUCCGCUCGACCUCGUGCUUUCCCGGCUUCCCCGAGACCACUACGAGCACCAAUACCCCAUGACGAUGUUGAUGCCCCUGUGGUCGACUACGUCACCGACGACCCCUCCUUGCCAGAGCAACCAGUUGUCGCAACCAGAUGCUGGAGCCCAGGAGCCAGACGCCACCGUCGAUGACGACUACUACACUGGAGGUGCCUACUACUACGUGCAGCCCGCUGACGACGACCAGGAGUAGUUUAGGAGGAUCCCAGGCAGGAGGCUUGCGCCUCUUUCGAUCUGUACCCCCAGUUUGUGCUAGCCUUCUUAAGGCAAACUUGUUUCAGUUAUGUCUGUACUCAGAUAUUGUUGCUUCAGCUGACUCGUCUAUGAUCGAGCACUUGUAUUCGAGCCCUCGAGGCCCCUGGCUUGUAUUAUGAUGCUUGUAUGACUU